UUUGAAUUUUUCGUUCCCUCCUUAUAGCAAUUUUCUCUGCAUCAUUGCCUUUGGCCUCCAUCAUGUGAUUUGCUUUGCUCUGUGAUUUUCUAACAGAGUAGAAUGCGAGCAGAUAUGCCCUAUAUCACUCUCAAGUGGAAACUUGUAGAAGCAAUGAAGAUUUUUGCCAGACUAUUUGCUCUUGUAGCUUUGCCAUGGAGAGAGUCUACUUCUUUAGCUUGAGUCUUAGAAUGGAAAGAAUCAUGGAACAGAACUCAACUUCUAUUACCACACACUGGGUAAGACCCAGACUACUGACUGGAGGUCACCAACAAAGGCUCUAUAGUUCUUCUGAGAUGAAUAGCAGAAGACAGUGCAACAAAUUAAUACAAAUGAAGUCAUUCCUGAGUGACUCCAUCUGCUUUAGAAAUAAGGCUCGGACAAUAAUGUGGCCAAGAUCCAGAUAAUUAGGCCUGACUCCAAAUGAAGGCACACAGGAUGUUGGAAAAUAAGAAGGACGUGGCAAGGGGGAGCUCUGUGGCUUCCACACAAGAACAAACGUUGGAUCCUCACCGUCCCUCCUUGUGUGCUCGAGACACAAAGGAUAGAUGAAGCCCUUGGCUUAGAAAUCAUUUGUACAUGUGAUGCUUUUCUUCCCCGGCUGUGAAAUGCUGCUAAAUUAAUGGUUCACAUAAAGAUUUUCCUGUGCCACCUCCUCCAGUCACCUGUGAACCACAGAUAAAUAUUGAGUUCACAAGGGGAACGUCUCAACCACCAAGUUCAAAUGGUCAGUUAGGAACACAUGUGAGUGGCGCUGGCAGGCGGGGCCGAGUGGCCAUCAUUUUCAUCUUUGCCAAAAGCAUCCAACAAACAGGACUAAUCCAUCCCCUCGUCUUAUAACAAUGGAAAUCUGUAAAGAGUACACAUAGGAGAUUCAGAAAAGAAAGAUAAAGAGUAAGGUUCAGAGACGCCAAUAUCACAGAAUAAAUCAUCUUUGGUGCUAGAAUGAAAAUCUUAAGUGUUCUGACAGAAAAGAACCAUGAUCUCCGAAGUAGAGAAAAAGAACGCGGGAUAGCUGAACAUGAAUCGCAAAGGGAAUUCUUAUUUCCAGAUCCGGGAAAUGGAAAUCAGCUUCAGUCUUGUCCGUCAAGAUCCUACCGCGUGAAUGCUUCUAAGAUAUACCUAUUUAGUGAAUUUCUAACCAGACAUGAAAGGACUAUUCUGUGCAGCCUGGACCCUGCAUCCAUGCUUUUACUCUGUCUCAGCUUGUUCUGUGAUUAACCCUCAACUUUUCACCCAGAGCCUCUCACUGGUUUAUAGAGAGUCUCCUCUGUCAUGUACCAGCAUCAUGCAGAGGAACCUGCCAGCUCUUUGUUGUCUCUGGCUUGACUUCAGGCUCAAGAGCUACCCCUUGAGCUGUCCUGGAAAAGGUGGCCAGGUAGAUCCAGCACCUCCCCACAUACUCAGCAGACAUUAGAAAACUGUGCAUGAAAUGCCAAUUCGUUUAUAAACUGGGAACUGUAACAUAUUAUGGUGAUGUACUAGUUUACCUAUGUACACAGUCAAUGCAAUGCUUUUUACUUAGUCCAAGAUGUAAUUCCCUAAACAAUGUAAGGAUAACUUUAUAGGGAAAAGGACUUAAAUUUGGUAUUAAAAGACAUCAGCCUAGAGUAAGGUUUCUGCCCAGCUGCCCAGCUUCUUUCU
Long non-coding RNA from Acinonyx jubatus (cheetah), 1683 nucleotides. RefSeq lists it as uncharacterized. The transcript has 3 exons. Lineage: Eukaryota; Metazoa; Chordata; Mammalia; Carnivora; Felidae. The record is from RefSeq and is a predicted model, not a curated record.